RNAcentral lists this ribosomal RNA (404 nucleotides) under Actinomycetes bacterium. Its description in RNAcentral is "Actinobacteria bacterium partial 16S ribosomal RNA". It matches the Rfam family "Bacterial small subunit ribosomal RNA", at positions 355 to 776 of the family's 1533-position model. The record is from RNAcentral. Lineage: Bacteria; Bacillati; Actinomycetota; Actinomycetes.
UGGGGAAUAUUGGACAAUGGGCGCAAGCCUGAUCCAGCCAUGCCGCGUGAGUGAUGAAGGCCCUAGGGUUGUAAAGCUCUUUCACCGGUGAAGAUAAUGACGGUAACCGGAGAAGAAGCCCCGGCUAACUUCGUGCCAGCAGCCGCGGCAAUACGAAGGGGGCUAGCGUUGUUCGGAUUUACUGGGCGUAAAGCGCACGUAGGCGGACUUUUAAGUCAGGGGUGAAAUCCCGGGGCUCAACCCCGGAACUGCCUUUGAUACUGGAAGUCUUGAGUAUGGUAGAGGUGAGUGGAAUUCCGAGUGUAGAGGUGAAAUUCGUAAAUAUUCGGAGGAACACCAGUGGCGAAGGCGGCUCACUGGACCAUUACUGACGCUGAGGUGCGAAAGCGUGGGGAGCAAACAGG